UACGUAGGGCGCGAGCGUUGUCCGGAAUUAUUGGGCGUAAAGAGCUCGUAGGCGGUCUGUCGCGUCUGCUGUGAAAUCCCGAGGCUCAACCUCGGGCUUGCAGUGGGUACGGGCAGGCUAGAGUGCGGUAGGGGAGAAUGGAACUCCUGGUGUAGCGGUGGAAUGCGCAGAUAUCAGGAGGAACACCAAUAGCGAAGGCAGCUCGCUGGGACGUUACUGACACUGAGGCGCGAAAGCGUGGGGAGCGAACAGG
RNAcentral lists this ribosomal RNA (253 nucleotides) under uncultured bacterium. Its description in RNAcentral is "partial 16S ribosomal RNA". It matches the Rfam family "Bacterial small subunit ribosomal RNA", at positions 524 to 776 of the family's 1533-position model. The record is from RNAcentral.